UACAUUUUCACAAGUGCGGGCUCAUUUUAAAAAUUGGCAGCACUUAAGUUCAAGUGCGGGUUUUAAACCUCAAGUGCGGGCUCAUCUUACAAAACCCGCACAUAAGAUUUCUAAAAUAUUUCCAAAAAAAAAAGAAAAAUCCUAAAAUCAUAACAGGCCUCCGUUUUCUCUCUCCCAGAUUCUUAUCCCUCUUCCUCUUCACCUUCGUUUUCUCUCUCCUUUGUCGUCGCCGUCGCUUCUUCACCGCCGGAGAUCAUCGCCGAACCUCUCCCUAGUCGCCAAUGCUCUUCUCUCUCUUCCUCUUUUUUCGUUGCUGAUCUUCUCCUUCCCUCUCUUUCUAGUUGAUGUUGGUCUUCCUUUGGUGCUCUCCUCCUCCUCAUUUGCUUCUCUCACAGGCAGAGAUGAAGAAUGGACCAGAAGCUUCGAGUCGCCACCGCCUCCGCGCUCUGCUCUCCCCUUAUCGCUUAUAGGACAAAACAUUAGAAAGCUUAUCAAAGAUGGAUUUAUCAUUAAGAAGCCAUCAAACAUCCAUUCCCGUUCCCGUGCUCGCCGCAUGAAUGAAGAAAAGAGAAAUGGGCGUCACUCUGGCUAUGGUGUGGGGAAACAUGAUGAGUACAAUAGAAAUUAAAGGCAAAGAACUUCUGGAUACAAAUGUUUUAACCCGUGCUGACCUCUAUGAAUGGUUGAAAGCAAAGAACAACGAUGAAGCACCCAUUAUCGGUGUUGGUCUUCAUAGUUAUUCAGCUUUGUAUAC
Spinacia oleracea (spinach) is the source of this 754-nucleotide long non-coding RNA. RefSeq lists it as uncharacterized. Lineage: Eukaryota; Viridiplantae; Streptophyta; Magnoliopsida; Caryophyllales; Amaranthaceae. The transcript has 4 exons. The record is from RefSeq and is a predicted model, not a curated record.